RNAcentral lists this ribosomal RNA (437 nucleotides) under uncultured bacterium. Its description in RNAcentral is "bacterial SSU rRNA". It matches the Rfam family "Bacterial small subunit ribosomal RNA", at positions 29 to 512 of the family's 1533-position model. The record is from RNAcentral.
AACGAACGCUGGCGGCAUGCCUAACACAUGCAAGUCGAACGAAGCCUUCGGGCUUAGUGGCGCACGGGUGCGUAACACGUGGGAAUCUGCCCUUCGGUUCGGAAUAACAGUUAGAAAUGACUGCUAAUACCGGAUGAUGACGUAAGUCCAAAGAUUUAUCGCCGAAGGAUGAGUCCGCGUAGGAUUAGGUAGUUGGUAGGGUAAUGGCCUACCAAGCCGACGAUCCUUAGCUGGUCUGAGAGGAUGAUCAGCCACACUGGGACUGAGACACGGCCCAGACUCCUACGGGAGGCAGCAGUGGGGAAUAUUGGACAAUGGGCGAAAGCCUGAUCCAGCAAUGCCGCGUGAGUGAUGAAGGCCUUAGGGUGUAAAGCUCUUUACCAGGGAUGAUAAUGACAGUACCUGGAGAAUAAGCUCCGGCUAAACUCCGUGCCAGC